This 459-nucleotide ribosomal RNA is filed under the name uncultured bacterium. RNAcentral's name for it is "partial 16S ribosomal RNA". It matches the Rfam family "Bacterial small subunit ribosomal RNA", at positions 338 to 795 of the family's 1533-position model. The record is from RNAcentral.
CCUACGGGAGGCAGCAGUGAGGAAUAUUGGUCAAUGGGCGCGAGCCUGAACCAGCCAAGUCGCGUGAGAGAAGACGGUCCUAUGGAUUGUAAACCUCUUUUGUCGGGGAGCAAAAGACGCCACGCGUGGCGUUCCGAGAGUACCCGAAGAAAAAGCAUCGGCUAACUCCGUGCCAGCAGCCGCGGUAAUACGGAGGAUGCGAGCGUUAUCCGGAUUUAUUGGGUUUAAAGGGUGCGCAGGCGGAAGAUCAAGUCAGCGGUAAAAUUGAGGGGCUCAACCUCUUCGAGCCGUUGAAACUGGUUGUCUUGAGUGAGCGAGAAGUAUGCGGAAGGCGUGGUGUAGCGGUGAAAUGCAUAGAUAUCACGCAGAACUCCGAUUGCGAAGGCAGCAUACCGGCGCUCAACUGACGCUCAUGCACGAAAGUGUGGGUAUCGAACAGGAUUAGAUACCCGAGUAGUC